GGGGUUGUAGCUCAGUUGGUAGAGCGUUUCGUCCGCAACGAAAAGGUCACGGGUUCGACUCCCGCCAGCUCCA
This 73-nucleotide transfer RNA is filed under the name Bifidobacterium catenulatum. RNAcentral describes it as "tRNA-Ala". It matches the Rfam family "tRNA". Rfam says of the family: Transfer RNA (tRNA) molecules are approximately 80 nucleotides in length. Their secondary structure includes four short double-helical elements and three loops (D, anti-codon, and T loops). Further hydrogen bonds mediate the characteristic L-shaped molecular structure. tRNAs have two regions of fundamental functional importance: the anti-codon, which is responsible for specific mRNA codon recognition, and the 3' end, to which the tRNAs corresponding amino acid is attached (by aminoacyl-tRNA synthetases). tRNAs cope with the degeneracy of the genetic code in two manners: having more than one tRNA (with a specific anti-codon) for a particular amino acid; and 'wobble' base-pairing, i.e. permitting non-standard base-pairing at the 3rd anti-codon position. Lineage: Bacteria; Bacillati; Actinomycetota; Actinomycetes; Bifidobacteriales; Bifidobacteriaceae. The record is from RNAcentral. RNAcentral also lists the same sequence under 1 other name.